UCACAUCUUCUUUAUCGGUAUCAACUCGUCAAAAAAAAUGAAUCUGUUUCUUCCCUAACCCCUUUCUUAUAAAUUAAGAGCAAUCGAUGAUUUUCUUCAAAGUGGGUUUUUAUUUUAUUGUAAUUAUGGUUUAGAUCUUCGAAUUGAGUGAUGGUGUAAUAGGGGAAAUCUGAGAUAUUUGAAGUGGGGUUUUGUAAAUAGAGGGAGAAGAAGCAAAACAGUGAGAGAGUUUGAUGGAGAAAGGUAUCAGAAAUUUUCCUUCUCUACUAACAGUUAAGUUUCUGACGUUCCAUUUCUCUAUUUAUUUACAUAUGCUUAUAAUUUGUUUGACAAAAUUACGCUUAGAAUUUUCUCUCGGUUUUGGUUAGUUUAUUCUUGACGAGCUUGAUUUGUGUUUUCAGAUGGAGAUUUGAUCUUUAAUGAGAUUGUUUGAAAGGGAGUUAGAUGAUGAAUAGGAGAAUUUUAGUCACCACUACUGCAUAAUGGAUUCAAUGCUCAAGGAUGACAUGAAAGUUCCACAUAUGUCACUUGGCAGUGAGAAUGAUGCCAGUGUGGCGUGGUUGGAUAAAUGUUUUACCAUAUGGUUGCAGAUUCUCAAAGUUAUUGCACAGACCCGUCAGAGUUCGAAAGCUCAAAGUAUGGUGGUGAUUACAUGUCUUGGUGGUGCAUUUCUUGGGUUCGUUUUAAGUGGUUUGAUAGGAGAUGUUGUAGGGCGUCUUAGAGGUUUUCAGUUGAGUGCUUUGGCGAUGAUUCUGAGCGCGAGAACAGAAAGCUUGGAAGCCUGGAGCACGAACGGGUGUUGGUCCUUCUAUUGCUUCUCUAUAUGGCUGAGAUAUGCUUUUCUCUGAUCCAUGUUGUCCCCAGGUGAUAUGUGUUUCCGGUUAUCUGCAAUUCCUGCUGCAAUAUCGUCUUCUGCAACAGAGUCCUGUGCGAAGAGUCCUCAGUGGCUUCAAAAGGAGGGUAUGCUGUUAAUAUUCUUCCCGUGCAACAAAAUAAAAGGGAGAGAGGGCAUGGAGCCACAGAAGCUGCAGUAGUUGAUGCUCGCAGAAUGAUCUUGAUGGAACUUUGCAUUUCUAAUUUAUUAACCAUUACUCAUAAAGCAUGCAGUGAAGGCCUCUCUAAGAGUCUCAAGCAAGUUGAAAUCAUGUAUUUUCCCCCUUUCAGUAGGAUCCAAUCUUCACAGAGGAUUUGCUUAAAGUGUUCCAGUGAUAACCAAAAACACAUUCUAUACUACCUCAACGUAGAUUAGAAUCCAACAUUGGAGUUUUAAAGUAAAAAAAAAAAGAACAGUUUUGGAACUACUUGUGAUCACCCCCUUUUUGGGUAAUGUUUUUUGUACAAGAAUCUAUAUGCAAAUUGUUGUAAUUCUUGAAAAACGUUGGUGAGCAAUUAGCUUUUUAACUGUUGGAAGGUCAGUUGCCAACAAUGGAGAAGGCAAGGAUACGUGAGAACUUGGUUUUCACUUUGAAUUGUUGAACUGAGUGUUAAAAGUUUCAGAUUUUGAUUGGAAAGAUAUGUUAUGUGUUGUUGGAUUUGUAAAAGAGUUCGGUUUAAACUUAGUCGCUCAUGUUAAUCUUUUUUAC
Molecule: long non-coding RNA, 1583 nt
Organism: Papaver somniferum (opium poppy)
Lineage: Eukaryota; Viridiplantae; Streptophyta; Magnoliopsida; Ranunculales; Papaveraceae
Exons: 6
Source: RefSeq, a predicted model, not a curated record